AUGAUCAUCACGGGGGAUGACCCCGAGUAUAUUGCCUUUGUAAAGGCCCGUCUUAGUGAGCAGUUUCUUAUGUCUGAUCUUGGACCUCUUCACUACUUUCUUGGGAUUGAAGUCUCUUCUACCUCUGAUGGCUUUUUUAUAUCCCAGGAAAAGUAUAUCCAGGAUCUUCUUGCUCGUGCUGCUCUUACUGACGAGCGCGUUGUUGAGACUCCUAUGGAGCUUAAUGUUCACCUCCGUGCUACUGAUGGUGAUCCUCUCCCUGACCCGACGCGUUAUCGUCAUCUUGUUGGCAGUCUUGUCUAUCUAGCUGCCAUUCGUCCGGACAUCUCUUAUCCGGUUCAUAUUCUGAGUCAGUUUGUCUCUGCUCCCACCUCGGUUCACUAUAGUCAUCUCCUUUGUGUUCUUUGA
This 408-nucleotide ribosomal RNA is filed under the name Triticum aestivum (bread wheat). RNAcentral's name for it is "partial small subunit ribosomal RNA". Lineage: Eukaryota; Viridiplantae; Streptophyta; Magnoliopsida; Poales; Poaceae. The record is from RNAcentral.